UUUCAUAGACACGGGUGCUCGGUGAAAAUCCGGGCUGAGAUCUGGCAUAGCCACGACCGUCGAACCUGAUCCGGAUAAUGCCGGCGAUAGGGAGGAAAAAUAUGGCUAGU
Regulatory RNA element from Corynebacterium glutamicum ATCC 13032, 110 nucleotides. It matches the Rfam family "TPP riboswitch aptamer (THI element)". Rfam says of the family: Vitamin B(1) in its active form thiamin pyrophosphate (TPP) is an essential coenzyme that is synthesised by coupling of pyrimidine and thiazole moieties in bacteria. Lineage: Bacteria; Bacillati; Actinomycetota; Actinomycetes; Mycobacteriales; Corynebacteriaceae. The record is from Rfam.